Homo sapiens (human) is the source of this 80-nucleotide microRNA precursor. The record is from Ensembl. Lineage: Eukaryota; Metazoa; Chordata; Mammalia; Primates; Hominidae.
CUGCAGCGUGCUUCUCCAGGCCCCGCGCGCGGACAGACACACGGACAAGUCCCGCCAGGGGCUGGGCGCGCGCCAGCCGG